CCCCUGGUGGUCUAGUGGUUGGGAUGCAGCGCUCUCACCACCGUGGCCCGGGUUCGAUUCCCGGUCAGGGAC
Molecule: transfer RNA, 72 nt
Filed under: Manacus vitellinus (golden-collared manakin)
Lineage: Eukaryota; Metazoa; Chordata; Aves; Passeriformes; Pipridae
Rfam family: tRNA
About the family: Transfer RNA (tRNA) molecules are approximately 80 nucleotides in length. Their secondary structure includes four short double-helical elements and three loops (D, anti-codon, and T loops).
Source: Rfam by way of RNAcentral